AAUCAACGCUGGCGGCGUGCCUCAGACAUGCAAGUCGAACGCGAAAGUUUCCUUCGGGGAACAAGUAGAGUGGCGCACGGGUGAGUAACACGUAGGUAAUCUACCUUUGGAUGGGGAAUAACAACCGGAAACGGUUGCUAAUACCGCAUAAUGCAGCGGCACCUAAUGGUGACAGUUGUUAAAGCGGGGGAUCGAAAGACCUCGCGUCUGAAGAGGAGCCUGCGGCGGAUUAGCAGUUGGUAAGGUAAUGGCUUACCAAGGCUACGAUCCGUAACCGGCCUGAGAGGGGCGGUCGGUCACACUGACACUGACAUACGGGUCAGACUCC
RNAcentral lists this ribosomal RNA (328 nucleotides) under uncultured bacterium. RNAcentral's name for it is "bacterial SSU rRNA". It matches the Rfam family "Bacterial small subunit ribosomal RNA", at positions 32 to 339 of the family's 1533-position model. The record is from RNAcentral.